AUCAAGCACUUACCAGUUUUCCAUUUAUGCCUCAGUAAUUCCAGCCCAAAGUGAGAGAAUACAGGCUCAGUGCUCUGCACUUAUGGGUAUCUAUAGCAAGUUACAUAAAAUGAUGCUUUAUGACUGUGACAGUCAGUGACUCAAGAAGAGGCACAAUAUUUUCAAAAAUUUCAGGUAUGUUAAGGAAGGGAACGGAAGGAAAGAGCAACAAAAUGUGAUCUUCUUAUCCCUUCCAGUGUCUGGAGUUCAAGAUAAAAGUCAGUAAAAAAAAAAAAAAACAAAGGAGUGCAGUUACUGCAGUAUAUCAGAGAUGGUGUACAGAGAAAACUGCAAUAAGUGCAAACGCUUCAAAAUCAUGACAAUACGCGAACCAGAAAAUUAAAAUUAAAUAUCACAUUAUGUUACCUUAAAAAUUCUAACAAUCAAUAAUUUAUAAGUAACGUAAGGCUACUCAGCUGCCAACUGCCAUCACACCAUACAUGCAAAUAAUGAACACAAGGGGAUAGUUAAAUUAUAGUUCAAUCAUACAAGCAUUACAACAGGAAUUGACACAUGACUCUAAACACAGGAACAGUGGAGUUAUUUCUCAGUCAUACAUUUCAAAAUGACUUGCAGAAUUCAGAGCUGGGCAUAGUUUAAUGAUACAGUUUGCUCACAAAGAGAUGAACGAGGACUACCCACUUCUGAAUUGGCAGAAAUCGGUUGAGUUUGGCCCGCUCAUGUUUCGUGUCCAGCCACAGCAAUCUAAUACAGAACCUUGCAAAGUGAUUGUUGUGCUGUGUUGUAUUACAUACAAAUUAAUAGAUUUUUUAAUGAGUGAUUAGUGGUUCCUGGCCCAUCAUGAGCAGCACCAGAUACUCUUUCCACUCCUCUGAAAAGGGGAAGGGACAGAAGAGCAAAAAUAAAGAGCUUCUGUCCAACCGCUUGGAGCAUAAACUGACACAUGAGCAGAAGUGUAGUGUUAGCACUUUGAAAUGUAAGUGCAGCUUGUUCCCGCCAACCAACCCCUCUCCCUUGUCAGCCAAUUGCUGGGAGUUGGUGGGUGGGGCUUGCUUCCCAUGACCCCUCUCUCACCACCCCUCCCCCUCAUAAUUCAUUCAUCUCCUUGUGAACACACUAUACACUUCAAUCCAAAUGGCUCCAUGUUGCAUAAUAAAAACACAACAUGUGAAAGGUUACAGAUAAGAGCAGUAUUAUAGGUGCUGUACCCCUUGACAUCCAGAUUUCUUCUGACCUUGAAACUUUAAUAUUUAAUAUAAUUACGUGCUCAAAAAUAUUCAGAGGAAUAUGCAACUGAAAAGAUUACUUUUCUCAGAUAUAGCCCAUUAUUAUGGAAUCAACAUCAGAAAUUCAACACACCUCUGGUGUGUUUGCAGAACCACUUUUAUUUAGUUUUUCAACACUGUUUGCAAAUGAUGAAACUACAGAUGGCAUUACAAAUGAUGGCAGUCGAGUUUAGGCUAUUUCUGCACAUCUCAUUCAUGUAUUCUCCAACAGCCAAUGAACAUACAGCGUUGUUCUGAGCACUCUGCUGUGAAUGUCUAAGCAAUGCAAGCAUCAAAUGUUAUCGUAGUGUAUUGUUUAGUGAAUUUUUAUUCCAUUUGUUGCGAGCUGUCAUUGCAGAUGUUGGCGACAAGUGAGAAAGUCUGCAUAAGUGAGAAAGUCUGCAUAAGUGAGAAAGUCUGCAUAAGUGAGAAAGUCUGCAUAAGUGAGAAAGUCUGCAUAAGUGAGAAAGUCUGCAUAAGUGAGAAAGUCUGCAUAAGUGAGAAAGUCUGCAUAAGUGAGAAAGUCUGCAUAAGUGAGAAAGUCUGCAUAAGUGAGAAAGUCUGCAUGAGCAAGUGAGAGACGUAAUUUGCAAGAUUCAUGCUUUCUUCAAGUACAAAGCACGUGUAUGCGAGUACUGCAAAUGCUAUUUGGAACUGACAACACUGGAAUACUCAUCUGUGCCUUGACCUAUGUGAACCGCCAUCAUUCAUGAAACAAGGUUAUAAUUAAGAAGUGGUCACUUACGGAAACUGUUGUGAUACUCAGAAUUAUUUGUGAAAAAUUAGUUCUUGGAGCACUAACUGGCAAUUCAUUCUUAAUAUUACUGGAAGGUAAUAAAAUAUUUCUUCAUUGCUUAUGCAGGGCAUCAAAGUUGAGCCACAAUUCUUCAAAUUUAUGUGCAUGACGAUUGAAAAACCCUGGCCAUGUGAACCCAGCAGUAGAGAAGUAGUUAAAAGGAUUGUUUCAUUUGGUGUGUACUAAGGAGAAGAAGCUUUUGUAUGUACGAAGCUUUAAAGAAAAUUGAGAAGCCUCUACU
Molecule: long non-coding RNA, 2302 nt
Organism: Schistocerca cancellata (South American locust)
Lineage: Eukaryota; Metazoa; Arthropoda; Insecta; Orthoptera; Acrididae
Exons: 2
Source: RefSeq, a predicted model, not a curated record